This 497-nucleotide ribosomal RNA is filed under the name uncultured bacterium. RNAcentral's name for it is "partial 16S ribosomal RNA". It matches the Rfam family "Bacterial small subunit ribosomal RNA", at positions 28 to 507 of the family's 1533-position model. The record is from RNAcentral.
GAUGAACGCUGGCGGCGUGCCUAAUACAUGCAAGUCGAGCGAACAGACGAGGAGCUUGCUCCUCUGACGUUAGCGGCGGACGGGUGAGUAACACGUGGAUAACCUACCUAUAAGACUGGGAUAACUUCGGGAAACCGGAGCUAAUACCGGAUAAUAUAUUGAACCGCAUGGUUCAAUAGUGAAAGACGGUUUUGCUGUCACUUAUAGAUGGAUCCGCGCCGCAUUAGCUAGUUGGUAAGGUAACAGCUUACCAAGGCAACGAUGCGUAGCCGACCUGAGAGGGUGAUCGGCCACACUGGAACUGAGACACGGUCCAGACUCCUACGGGAAGCAGCAGUAGGGAAUCUUCCGCAAUGGGCGAAAGCCUGACGGAGCAACGCCGCGUGAGUGAUGAAGGUCUUCGGAUCGUAAAACUCUGUUAUUAGGGAAGAACAAAUGUGUAAGUAACUAUGCACGUCUUGACGGUACCUAAUCAGAAAGCCACGGCUAACUACGUG